UGCCAGCCGCCGCGGUAAUACGGAGGGUGCAAGCGUUGCCCGGAUUCACUGGGUGUAAGGGUGUGCAGGCGGAGCAGACAGUCAGUGGUGAAAGCCCGUAGCUUAACUAUGGAACUGCCAUUGAUACUACUGCUCUUGAGUAUUGGAGAGGCUACUAGAAUUCGUGGUGUAGCGGUGAAAUGCGUAGAUAUCACGAGGAAUACCAGAGGCGUAAGCGGGUAGCUGGACAAAUACUGACGCUGAGGCACGAAAGCGUGGGGAGCAAACAGGAUUAGAUA
This 278-nucleotide ribosomal RNA is filed under the name uncultured bacterium. RNAcentral's name for it is "partial 16S ribosomal RNA". It matches the Rfam family "Bacterial small subunit ribosomal RNA", at positions 506 to 784 of the family's 1533-position model. The record is from RNAcentral.